CGGUGUGCUGGGCGAGGAGCCCGCGCCACGCGAGCUCGUCGAGGAUGUCGGUCACGGGCGUCUCCCGGUUCGGGUGCCGGCACGUCCGC
RNAcentral lists this transfer RNA (89 nucleotides) under Cellulomonas phragmiteti. Its description in RNAcentral is "tRNA-Ala". The record is from RNAcentral. Lineage: Bacteria; Bacillati; Actinomycetota; Actinomycetes; Micrococcales; Cellulomonadaceae.